This 253-nucleotide ribosomal RNA is filed under the name uncultured bacterium. RNAcentral's name for it is "partial 16S ribosomal RNA". It matches the Rfam family "Bacterial small subunit ribosomal RNA", at positions 524 to 776 of the family's 1533-position model. The record is from RNAcentral.
UACGAAGGGGGCUAGCGUUGUUCGGAAUUACUGGGCGUAAAGGGCGCGUAGGCGGUGUGUCAAGUCAGGCGUGAAAGCCCCGGGCUCAACCUGGGAACGGCGCUUGAGACUGGCACGCUCGAGUUCGGGAGAGGAUGGUGGAAUUCCCAGUGUAGAGGUGAAAUUCGUAGAUAUUGGGAAGAACACCGAUGGCGAAGGCAGCCAUCUGGACCGACACUGACGCUGAGGCGCGAAAGCGUGGGGAGCAAACAGG